This 253-nucleotide ribosomal RNA is filed under the name uncultured prokaryote. RNAcentral describes it as "partial 16S ribosomal RNA". It matches the Rfam family "Bacterial small subunit ribosomal RNA", at positions 524 to 776 of the family's 1533-position model. The record is from RNAcentral.
UACGGAGGGUGCAAGCGUUAUUCGGAAUUACUGGGCGUAAAGCGCACGCAGGCGGCCUUGUAAGUCAGGGGUGAAAUCCCACGGCUCAACCGUGGAACUGCCUUUGAAACUGCAGGACUUGAAUACUGGAGAGGGUGGCGGAAUUCCUGGUGUAGGAGUGAAAUCCGUAGAUAUCAGGAGGAACACCGGUGGCGAAGGCGGCCACCUGGACAGGUAUUGACGCUGAGGUGCGAAAGUGUGGGGAGCAAACAGG